CAUGGCGGAGGGAGGCCGUGUCUGUCCAACACUCCUCGUUUAAGACUUAUUUUACAGCUAACACACAUCAAAAACUUUCGCAAGGCUUUGGAGCUAAAUAAAUUGUCAGCUCG
Molecule: non-coding RNA, 113 nt
Organism: Penaeus vannamei (Pacific white shrimp)
Lineage: Eukaryota; Metazoa; Arthropoda; Malacostraca; Decapoda; Penaeidae
Source: RefSeq, a predicted model, not a curated record